CCUGGUCGCUUCGUGCCAUGCCUCGCACUCCCGGUGCCCUGGCUGUGGCUUGCAGGCGGUAUGCCCACACCCACCUGCCCUACAACAGCAGUCGUGGACUGGGACAUUCAUCUUUCCUUAGGGCUUUCAGUUCUGUGAAAUAAAUUCGACUGCCUUUAGAUUAACAGAAGAGAACAGCACAUGAAAUUGCAACCAUUACACACUGUCUGAGGAACUACCACCGCACUGGAAAAGAAAGUUACUUUGUAAGGCUUUCAAUAAUUCCAUCUGUACAACCUAGGAUGAUGCUAGUCUUUUCUGUAAUGGCAUGAUGUUGUCAACUCAUAUUUGACUGGGACUGUUUUAAUUCUGUGAUCCUUGUCUGAAGCAGUGUUAAUUACAUUUGUCUUCUCGAGCUUGUAUUUUUGCAUUUUACUAUUUUUUCCUAAGUGUAUGAUCAUUUCUUCCACCAAUGUUCAUCCAAUUUUUCUGGACUAUUU
This is a long non-coding RNA of Cygnus atratus (black swan), 479 nucleotides long. RefSeq lists it as uncharacterized. NCBI's taxonomy places the organism in Eukaryota, Metazoa, Chordata, Aves, Anseriformes, Anatidae. The transcript is spliced from 3 exons. The record is from RefSeq and is a predicted model, not a curated record.